Molecule: ribosomal RNA, 490 nt
Filed under: uncultured bacterium
Lineage: Bacteria
Description: partial 16S ribosomal RNA
Rfam family: Bacterial small subunit ribosomal RNA
Source: RNAcentral
AGUGAACGCUGGCGGUAGGCCUAACACAUGCAAGUCGAACGGCAGCACAGUAAGAGCUUGCUCUUACGGGUGGCGAGUGGCGGACGGGUGAGGAAUACAUCGGAAUCUACUUUUUCGUGGGGGAUAACGUAGGGAAACUUACGCUAAUACCGCAUACGACCUACGGUGAAAGCAGGGGAUCUUCGGACCUUGCGCGAUUGAAUGAGCCGAUGUCGGAUUAGCUAGUUGGCGGGGUAAGGGCCCACCAAGGCGACGAUCCGUAGCUGGUCUGAGAGGAUGAUCAGCCACACUGGAACUGAGACACGGUCCAGACUCCUACGGGAGGCAGCAGUGGGGAAUAUUGGACAAUGGGCGCAAGCCUGAUCCAGCCAUACCGCGUGGGUGAAGAAGGCCUUCGGGUUGUAAAGCCCUUUUGUUGGGAAAGAAAAGCAGCAGGUUAAUACCCCGCUGUUCUGACGGUACCCAAAGAAUAAACACCGGCUAACUUCGU